Molecule: ribosomal RNA, 810 nt
Filed under: Amnibacterium sp.
Lineage: Bacteria; Bacillati; Actinomycetota; Actinomycetes; Micrococcales; Microbacteriaceae
Description: bacterial SSU rRNA
Rfam family: Bacterial small subunit ribosomal RNA
Source: RNAcentral
GCUUACCAUGCAAGUCGAACGGUGAUGCAGAGCUUGCUCUGCGGAUCAGUGGCGAACGGGUGAGUAACACGUGAGUAACCUGCCCCCGACUCCGGGAUAAGCGUUGGAAACGACGUCUAAUACCGGAUACGACCCGCGAAGGCAUCUUCUGCGGGUGGAAAGAACUUCGGUCAGGGAUGGACUCGCGGCCUAUCAGCUAGUUGGUGAGGUAACGGCCCACCAAGGCGACGACGGGUAGCCGGCCUGAGAGGGUGACCGGCCACACUGGGACUGAGACACGGCCCAGACUCCUACGGGAGGCAGCAGUGGGGAAUAUUGCACAAUGGGCGCAAGCCUGAUGCAGCAACGCCGCGUGAGGGACGACGGCCUUCGGGUUGUAAACCUCUUUUGGCAGGGAAGAAGCGAAAGUGACGGUACCUGCAGAAAAAGCACCGGCUAACUACGUGCCAGCAGCCGCGGUAAUACGUAGGGUGCAAGCGUUGUCCGGAAUUAUUGGGCGUAAAGAGCUCGUAGGCGGUUUGUCGCGUCUGCUGUGAAAACGCAAGGCUCAACCUUGCGCCUGCAGUGGGUACGGGCAGACUAGAGUGUGGUAGGGGAGAUUGGAAUUCCUGGUGUAGCGGUGGAAUGCGCAGAUAUCAGGAGGAACACCGAUGGCGAAGGCAGAUCUCUGGGCCAUUACUGACGCUGAGGAGCGAAAGCGUGGGGAGCGAACAGGAUUAGAUACCCUGGUAGUCCACGCCGUAAACGUUGGGAACUAGAUGUGGGGUCCAUUCCACGGAUUCCGUGUCGCAGCUAACGCAUUAAGUUCCC